GGGUUGUGAGGUUAAGCGACUAAGCGUACACGGUGGAUGCCCUGGCAGUCAGAGGCGAUGAAGGACGUGCUAAUCUGCGAAAAGCGUCGGUAAGGUGAUAUGAACCGUUAUAACCGGCGAUGUCCGAAUGGGGAAACCCAGUGCAAUUCGUUGCACUAUCGUUAACUGAAUACAUAGGUUAACGAGGCGAACCGGGGGAACUGAAACAUCUAAGUACCCCGAGGAAAAGAAAUCAACCGAGAUUCCCCCAGUAGCGGCGAGCGAACGGGGAGCAGCCCAGAGUCUGAAUCAGCUUGUGUGUUAGUGGAACGGUCUGGAAAGUCCGACGGUACAGGGUGAUAGUCCCGUACACCAAAAUGCACAGGUUGUGAACUCGAAGAGUAGGGCGGGACACGUGGUAUCCUGUCUGAAUAUGGGGGGACCAUCCUCCAAGGCUAAAUACUCCUGACUGACCGAUAGUGAACCAGUACCGUGAGGGAAAGGCGAAAAGAACCCCGGCGAGGGGAGUGAAAAAGAACCUGAAACCGUGUACGUACAAGCAGUGGGAGCACCUUCGGGUGUGACUGCGUACCUUUUGUAUAAUGGGUCAGCGACUUAUAUUCUGUAGCAAGGUUAACCGUAUAGGGGAGCCGCAGGGAAACCGAGUCUUAACUGGGCGUUAAGUUGCAGGGUAUAGACCCGAAACCCGGUGAUCUAGCCAUGGGCAGGUUGAAGGUUGGGUAACACUAACUGGAGGACCGAACCGACUAAUGUUGAAAAAUUAGCGGAUGACUUGUGGCUGGGGGUGAAAGGCCAAUCAAACCGGGAGAUAGCUGGUUCUCCCCGAAAGCUAUUUAGGUAGCGCCUCGUGAAUUCAUCUUCGGGGGUAGAGCACUGUUUCGGCUAGGGGGUCAUCCCGACUUACCAACCCGAUGCAAACUACGAAUACCGAAGAAUGUUAUCACGGGAGACACACGGCGGGUGCUAACGUCCGUCGUGAAGAGGGAAACAACCCAGACCGCCAGCUAAGGUCCCAAAGUCAUGGUUAAGUGGGAAACGAUGUGGGAAGGCACAGACAGCCAGGAUGUUGGCUUAGAAGCAGCCAUCAUUUAAAGAAAGCGUAAUAGCUCACUGGUCGAGUCGGCCUGCGCGGAAGAUGUAACGGGGCUAAACCAUGCACCGAAGCUGCGGCAGCGACACUAUGUGUUGUUGGGUAGGGGAGCGUUCUGUAAGCCUGCGAAGGUGUGCUGUGAGGCAUGCUGGAGGUAUCAGAAGUGCGAAUGCUGACAUAAGUAACGAUAAAGCGGGUGAAAAGCCCGCUCGCCGGAAGACCAAGGGUUCCUGUCCAACGUUAAUCGGGGCAGGGUGAGUCGACCCCUAAGGCGAGGCCGAAAGGCGUAGUCGAUGGGAAACAGGUUAAUAUUCCUGUACUUGGUGUUACUGCGAAGGGGGGACGGAGAAGGCUAUGUUAGCCGGGCGACGGUUGUCCCGGUUUAAGCAUGUAGGCUGAUUGUCCAGGCAAAUCCGGAUAAUCAAGGCUGAGGUGUGAUGACGAGGCACUACGGUGCUGAAGUAACAAAUGCCCUGCUUCCAGGAAAAGCCUCUAAGCAUCAGGUAACAUUAAAUCGUACCCCAAACCGACACAGGUGGUCAGGUAGAGAAUACCAAGGCGCUUGAGAGAACUCGGGUGAAGGAACUAGGCAAAAUGGUGCCGUAACUUCGGGAGAAGGCACGCUGGUGUGUAGGUGAAGUCCCUGCGGAUGGAGCUGAGACCAGUCGAAGAUACCAGCUGGCUGCAACUGUUUAUUAAAAACACAGCACUGUGCAAACACGAAAGUGGACGUAUACGGUGUGACGCCUGCCCGGUGCCGGAAGGUUAAUUGAUGGGGUUAUCCGUAAGGAGAAGCUCUUGAUCGAAGCCCCGGUAAACGGCGGCCGUAACUAUAACGGUCCUAAGGUAGCGAAAUUCCUUGUCGGGUAAGUUCCGACCUGCACGAAUGGCGUAAUGAUGGCCAGGCUGUCUCCACCCGAGACUCAGUGAAAUUGAACUCGCUGUGAAGAUGCAGUGUACCCGCGGCAAGACGGAAAGACCCCGUGAACCUUUACUAUAGCUUGACACUGAACAUUGAGCCUUGAUGUGUAGGAUAGGUGGGAGGCUUUGAAGCGUGGACGCCAGUCUGCGUGGAGCCAACCUUGAAAUACCACCCUUUAAUGUUUGAUGUUCUAACGUUGGCCCCUGACCGGGGUUGCGGACAGUGUCUGGUGGGUAGUUUGACUGGGGCGGUCUCCUCCCAAAGCGUAACGGAGGAGCACGAAGGUUAGCUAAUCCUGGUCGGACAUCAGGAGGUUAGUGCAAUGGCAUAAGCUAGCUUGACUGCGAGCGUGACGGCGCGAGCAGGUGCGAAAGCAGGUCAUAGUGAUCCGGUGGUUCUGAAUGGAAGGGCCAUCGCUCAACGGAUAAAAGGUACUCCGGGGAUAACAGGCUGAUACCGCCCAAGAGUUCAUAUCGACGGCGGUGUUUGGCACCUCGAUGUCGGCUCAUCACAUCCUGGGGCUGAAGUAGGUCCCAAGGGUAUGGCUGUUCGCCAUUUAAAGUGGUACGCGAGCUGGGUUUAGAACGUCGUGAGACAGUUCGGUCCCUAUCUGCCGUGGGCGCUGGAGAAUUGAGGGGGGCUGCUCCUAGUACGAGAGGACCGGAGUGGACGCAUCACUGGUGUUCGGGUUGUCAUGCCAAUGGCACUGCCCGGUAGCUAAAUGCGGAAGAGAUAAGUGCUGAAAGCAUCUAAGCACGAAACUUGCCCCGAGAUGAGUUCUCCCUGAGACUUUAAGUCUCCUGAAGGAACGUUGAAGACGACGACGUUGAUAGGCCGGGUGUGUAAGCGCAGCGAUGCGUUGAGCUAACCGGUACUAAUGAACCGUGAGGCUUAACCUUACAACGCCGAAG
RNAcentral lists this ribosomal RNA (2923 nucleotides) under Klebsiella pneumoniae. RNAcentral describes it as "bacterial LSU rRNA". It matches the Rfam family "Bacterial large subunit ribosomal RNA". Lineage: Bacteria; Pseudomonadati; Pseudomonadota; Gammaproteobacteria; Enterobacterales; Enterobacteriaceae. The record is from RNAcentral.